UUAAGCGACUAAGCGUACACGGUGGAUGCCCUGGCAGUCAGAGGCGAUGAAGGACGUGCUAAUCUGCGAUAAGCGCCGGUAAGGUGAUAUGAACCGUUAUAACCGGCGAUUUCCGAAUGGGGAAACCCAGUGUGACUCGUCACACUAUCAUUAACUGAAUCCAUAGGUUAAUGAGGCGAACCGGGGGAACUGAAACAUCUAAGUACCCCGAGGAAAAGAAAUCAACCGAGAUUCCCCCAGUAGCGGCGAGCGAACGGGGAGGAGCCCAGAGCCUGAAUCAGCAUGUGUGUUAGUGGAAGCGUCUGGAAAGGCGCGCGAUACAGGGUGACAGCCCCGUACACAAAAGCGCAUGUGCUGUGAGCUCGAUGAGUAGGGCGGGACACGUGGUAUCCUGUCUGAAUAUGGGGGGACCAUCCUCCAAGGCUAAAUACUCCUGACUGACCGAUAGUGAACCAGUACCGUGAGGGAAAGGCGAAAAGAACCCCGGCGAGGGGAGUGAAAAAGAACCUGAAACCGUGUACGUACAAGCAGUGGGAGCCCCACCACUAAGCCAGUGGUGAACUCCACAUACGCAUCCUUUGCUGAGGAUACGGUUAACGGAGCGAAAGCGACGUUCAACCUCAAAAGAAGCAGAGGGGGCUUAGUGGUGGGGUGACUGCGUACCUUUUGUAUAAUGGGUCAGCGACUUAUAUUCUGUAGCAAGGUUAACCGAAUAGGGGAGCCGGAGGGAAACCGAGUCUUAACCGGGCGUUAAGUUGCAGGGUAUAGACCCGAAACCCGGUGAUCUAGCCAUGGGCAGGUUGAAGGUUGGGUAACACUAACUGGAGGACCGAACCGACUAAUGUUGAAAAAUUAGCGGAUGACCUGUGGCUGGGGGUGAAAGGCCAAUCAAACCGGGAGAUAGCUGGUUCUCCCCGAAAGCUAUUUAGGUAGCGCCUCGUGAAUUCAUCUCCGGGGGUAGAGCACUGUUUCGGCUAGGGGGCCAUCCCGGCUUACCAACCCGAUGCAAACUGCGAAUACCGGAGAAUGUUAUCACGGGAGACACACGGCGGGUGCUAACGUCCGUCGUGAAGAGGGAAACAACCCAGACCGCCAGCUAAGGUCCCAAAGUCAUGGUUAAGUGGGAAACGAUGUGGGAAGGCCCAGACAGCCAGGAUGUUGGCUUAGAAGCAGCCAUCAUUUAAAGAAAGCGUAAUAGCUCACUGGUCGAGUCGGCCUGCGCGGAAGAUGUAACGGGGCUAAACCAUGCACCGAAGCUGCGGCAGCGACACUAUGUGUUGUUGGGUAGGGGAGCGUUCUGUAAGCCUGUGAAGGUGGCCUGUGAGGGUUGCUGGAGGUAUCAGAAGUGCGAAUGCUGACAUAAGUAACGAUAAAGCGGGUGAAAAGCCCGCUCGCCGGAAGACCAAGGGUUCCUGUCCAACGUUAAUCGGGGCAGGGUGAGUCGACCCCUAAGGCGAGGCCGAAAGGCGUAGUCGAUGGGAAACGGGUUAAUAUUCCCGUACUUGGUGUUACUGCGAAGGGGGGACGGAGAAGGCUAUGUUGGCCGGGCGACGGUUGUCCCGGUUUAAGCGUGUAGGCUGGUUUUCCAGGCAAAUCCGGAAAAUCAAGGCUGAGGCGUGACGACGAGGCACUACGGUGCUGAAGCAACAAAUGCCCUGCUUCCAGGAAAAGCCUCUAAGCAUCAGGUAACAUCAAAUCGUACCCCAAACCGACACAGGUGGUCAGGUAGAGAAUACCAAGGCGCUUGAGAGAACUCGGGUGAAGGAACUAGGCAAAAUGGUGCCGUAACUUCGGGAGAAGGCACGCUGACACGUAGGUGAAGUGAUUUACUCAUGGAGCUGAAGUCAGUCGAAGAUACCAGCUGGCUGCAACUGUUUAUUAAAAACACAGCACUGUGCAAACACGAAAGUGGACGUAUACGGUGUGACGCCUGCCCGGUGCCGGAAGGUUAAUUGAUGGGGUCAGCGCAAGCGAAGCUCCUGAUCGAAGCCCCGGUAAACGGCGGCCGUAACUAUAACGGUCCUAAGGUAGCGAAAUUCCUUGUCGGGUAAGUUCCGACCUGCACGAAUGGCGUAAUGAUGGCCAGGCUGUCUCCACCCGAGACUCAGUGAAAUUGAACUCGCUGUGAAGAUGCAGUGUACCCGCGGCAAGACGGAAAGACCCCGUGAACCUUUACUAUAGCUUGACACUGAACAUUGAGCCUUGAUGUGUAGGAUAGGUGGGAGGCUUUGAAGUGUGGACGCCAGUCUGCAUGGAGCCGACCUUGAAAUACCACCCUUUAAUGUUUGAUGUUCUAACGUGGACCCGUGAUCCGGGUUGCGGACAGUGUCUGGUGGGUAGUUUGACUGGGGCGGUCUCCUCCUAAAGAGUAACGGAGGAGCACGAAGGUUGGCUAAUCCUGGUCGGACAUCAGGAGGUUAGUGCAAUGGCAUAAGCCAGCUUGACUGCGAGCGUGACGGCGCGAGCAGGUGCGAAAGCAGGUCAUAGUGAUCCGGUGGUUCUGAAUGGAAGGGCCAUCGCUCAACGGAUAAAAGGUACUCCGGGGAUAACAGGCUGAUACCGCCCAAGAGUUCAUAUCGACGGCGGUGUUUGGCACCUCGAUGUCGGCUCAUCACAUCCUGGGGCUGAAGUAGGUCCCAAGGGUAUGGCUGUUCGCCAUUUAAAGUGGUACGCGAGCUGGGUUUAGAACGUCGUGAGACAGUUCGGUCCCUAUCUGCCGUGGGCGCUGGAGAACUGAGGGGGGCUGCUCCUAGUACGAGAGGACCGGAGUGGACGCAUCACUGGUGUUCGGGUUGUCAUGCCAAUGGCACUGCCCGGUAGCUAAAUGCGGAAGAGAUAAGUGCUGAAAGCAUCUAAGCACGAAACUUGCCCCGAGAUGAGUUCUCCCUGAGACUUAAAGUCUCCUGAAGGAACGUUGAAGACGACGACGUUGAUAGGCCGGGUGUGUAAGCGCAGCGAUGCGUUGAGCUAACCGGUACUAAUGAACCGUGAGGCUUAACCUU
This 3002-nucleotide ribosomal RNA is filed under the name Salmonella enterica subsp. enterica serovar Give. RNAcentral describes it as "bacterial LSU rRNA". It matches the Rfam family "Bacterial large subunit ribosomal RNA". The record is from RNAcentral. Lineage: Bacteria; Pseudomonadati; Pseudomonadota; Gammaproteobacteria; Enterobacterales; Enterobacteriaceae.